UGCUGGCUGCGAGUAAGGCCUCGUUCCAUGUUCCCACUCCGUGGGAGGUUGGGCAGGGUGGUCCUGCCCCGUGGCCUCCUGCAGUGCGGCCCUCCCUGCCUUCUAGGCGACGCAGCCCUGUUGCGCUUCCGGCGCCUGCUGGUGGCUGAGCUGCAGCGCGGCUUCUUUGACAAGCACAUCUGGCUCUCCAUACGGGACCGGCCGCCUCGUAGCCAUUUCACUCACAUCCAGAGGGCCACCUGCUGCGUUCUCCUGGGCGCCAACGCCGUGUGGUACGGGGCUGUUGGCGACUCUGCCUACAGCACGGGGCGUGUGUCCAGGCUGAGCCCGCUGAGCGUCGACACAGUCGCUGUUGGCCUAGUGUCCAGCGUGGUUGUCUAUCCCGUCUACCUGGCCAUCCUCUUUCUCUUCCGGAUGUCCCGGAGCAAGGUGGGCUGGGGCUGGGGACCCGGGAGUACUGGGAAUGGAGCCUGGGCCUUGGCACCAUGCCCAGGGCCACUUUCCAGUGCUGCAGCCGGAGGGAAAGGCAUCCACCAAAGGCUGCUCGGGAAGGGUCAACACACUUGAGCAGCCUUAGCUAGACCAGGGAGAAAGAGAGAAGACUCAGAAGCCAGAAUCGUGAAAGAACGAGGGCACUUUGCUAAGCAGACGCCACGGACAACUGCACAGCAGCACGCCAGAUAACUCAGAAGAAGCAAGCACGCGGCUGUGCAUGCUUCCGAAAUGCACUCCAGAAGAAAAUCUCAGUACAUCUAUAGCAAGUGAAGAGGCCGAGUUAGUCCCUUAGAAACCUCCCAGUGGCCGGGCCGGGUGUGGUGGCUCACGCCUGUAAUCCCAACACUUCAGGAGGCCGAGGUGGGCGGAUCUGAGUCCAGGAGUUUGAGACCAGCCUGGGCAACAUAGCAAGACCCCAUCUAUAUAAAAUAUUAAAAAGGGCCAGGCGCGGUGGCUCACGCCUGUAAUCCCAGCACUUUGGGAGGCCGAGGCGGGCAGAUCACUUGAGGUCAGGAGUUCGAGACCAGCCUGGCCAACACAAUGAAACCCCGUCUCUACUACAAAUACAAAAACUUAGCUGGGCAUGGUGGCGGGCACCUGUAGUCCCAGCUACUCGAGAGGCUGAGGCAGGAGAAUGGCAUGAACCCAGGAGGCGGAGCUUGCAGUGAGCCGAGAUUGCGCCACUGCCCUCCAUCCUGGGCAACGGAGCAAGACUCCGUCUCCAAA
This 1221-nucleotide long non-coding RNA is filed under the name Pan troglodytes (chimpanzee). RNAcentral describes it as "lncRNA (ENSPTRG00000053186.1)". The record is from RNAcentral. Lineage: Eukaryota; Metazoa; Chordata; Mammalia; Primates; Hominidae.